RNAcentral lists this ribosomal RNA (548 nucleotides) under uncultured bacterium. Its description in RNAcentral is "bacterial SSU rRNA". It matches the Rfam family "Bacterial small subunit ribosomal RNA", at positions 390 to 931 of the family's 1533-position model. The record is from RNAcentral.
AUCAAUGCCGCGUGAGUGAAGAAGGCCUUCGGGUUGUAAAGCUCUUUUGUCAGGGAAGAAACACCGGCUCUAACACAGUCCGGGAAUGACGGUACCUGAAGAAUAAGCACCGGCUAACUACGUGCCAGCAGCCGCGGUAAUACGUAGGGUGCGAGCGUUAAUCGGAAUUACUGGGCGUAAAGCGUGCGCAGGCGGUUGUACAAGACAGGCGUGAAAUCCCCGGGCUUAACCUGGGAAUGGCGCCUGUGACUGUACGGCUAGAGUGUGUCAGAGGGGGGUAGAAUUCCACGUGUAGCAGUGAAAUGCGUAGAUAUGUGGAGGAAUACCAAUGGCGAAGGCAGNCCCCUGGGAUAACACUGACGCUCAUGCACGAAAGCGUGGGGAGCAAACAGGAUUAGAUACCCUGGUAGUCCACGCCCUAAACGAUGCUGACUAGUUGUUCGGGAUUUACAUCCUGAGUAACGUAGCUAACGCGUGAAGUCAGACGGCUGGGGAGUACGGUCGCAAGAUUUAAACUCCAAGCGAAUUGACGGGGACCCGGACAAGCG